AAUGAACGUUGGCGGCGUGGAUUAGGCAUGCAAGUCGAGCGCGAACCGUAGCAAUACGGGGAGAGCGGCGAAAGGGAGAGGAAUACGUGGAUACCUACCCUCAGGUUCAGGAUAGCUAUGGGAAACUAUAGGUAAUACUGAAUAAUAUCUCCGGAUCAAAGGUGUGAUUCCACCUGAGGAGGGUCCGCGUCCUAUUAGCUAGUUGGUGAGGUAACGGCUCACCAAGGCGAAGAUGGGUACGGGAUGUGAGAGCAUGAUCCCGCUCACUGGGACUGAGACACUGCCCAGACACCUACGGGUGGCUGCAGUCGAGAAUCUUCGGCAAUGGGGGGAAACCCUGACCGAGCGACGCCGCGUGCGAGAUGAGGGCCUUCGGGUUGUAAAGUCGCUGUCAGUGGGA
This 400-nucleotide ribosomal RNA is filed under the name uncultured bacterium. RNAcentral describes it as "bacterial SSU rRNA". It matches the Rfam family "Bacterial small subunit ribosomal RNA", at positions 29 to 444 of the family's 1533-position model. The record is from RNAcentral.